This 458-nucleotide ribosomal RNA is filed under the name uncultured bacterium. RNAcentral describes it as "partial 16S ribosomal RNA". It matches the Rfam family "Bacterial small subunit ribosomal RNA", at positions 338 to 795 of the family's 1533-position model. The record is from RNAcentral.
CCUACGGGUGGCAGCAGUGGGGAAUAUUGCACAAUGGGGGAAACCCUGAUGCAGCGACGCCGCGUGAGUGAAGAAGUAAUUCGUUACGUAAAGCUCUAUCAGCAGGGAAGAAACACUGACCUUACGGUCAGCAGACGGUACCUGAGUAAGAAGCCCCGGCUAACUACGUGCCAGCAGCCGCGGUAAUACGUAGGGGGCAAGCGUUAUCCGGAUUUACGGGGGGUAAAGGGGGCGUAGACGGUGCGCUAAGUCUGGAGGGAAAUGCCGCAGCUUAACUGCGGAACUGCCUUUGAAACUGGCGAACUAGAGUGCGGGAGGGGUAAGCGGAAUUCCUAGUGUAGCGGUGAAAUGCGUAGAUAUUAGGAGGAACACCGGUGGCGAAGGCGGCUUACUGGACCGUAACUGACGUUGAGGCUCGAAAGCGUGGGGAGCAAACAGGAUUAGAUACCCCAGUAGUC